RNAcentral lists this ribosomal RNA (465 nucleotides) under Vreelandella stevensii. RNAcentral describes it as "partial 16S ribosomal RNA". It matches the Rfam family "Bacterial small subunit ribosomal RNA", at positions 338 to 795 of the family's 1533-position model. Lineage: Bacteria; Pseudomonadati; Pseudomonadota; Gammaproteobacteria; Oceanospirillales; Halomonadaceae. The record is from RNAcentral.
CCUACGGGCGGCUGCAGUGGGGAAUAUUGGACAAUGGGGGCAACCCUGAUCCAGCCAUGCCGCGUGUGUGAAGAAGGCCCUCGGGUUGUAAAGCACUUUCAGUGAGGAAGAACGCCUGGUGGUUAAUACCCAUCAGGAAAGACAUCACUCACAGAAGAAGCACCGGCUAACUCCGUGCCAGCAGCCGCGGUAAUACGGAGGGUGCGAGCGUUAAUCGGAAUUACUGGGCGUAAAGCGCGCGUAGGUGGCUUGAUAAGCCGGUUGUGAAAGUCCCGGGCUCAACCUGGGAACGGCAUCCGGAACUGUCAAGCUAGAGUGCAGGAGAGGAAGGUAGAAUUCCCGGUGUAGCGGUGAAAUGCGUAGAGAUCGGGAGGAAUACCAGUGGCGAAGGCGGCCUUCUGGACUGACACUGACACUGAGGUGCGAAAGCGUGGGUAGCAAACAGGAUUAGAUACCCCGGUAGUC